RNAcentral lists this ribosomal RNA (477 nucleotides) under Dunaliella salina. RNAcentral's name for it is "partial large subunit ribosomal RNA". It matches the Rfam family "Eukaryotic large subunit ribosomal RNA", at positions 108 to 598 of the family's 3401-position model. The record is from RNAcentral. Lineage: Eukaryota; Viridiplantae; Chlorophyta; Chlorophyceae; Chlamydomonadales; Dunaliellaceae.
CCCAACUUGAAAAUCUCCCUUUGGAGAAUUGUAGUCUAGAGAAGCGCCCUCUGCGGCGGCCGGAGCCUAAGUCCGUUGGAAAACGGCGUCAGAGAGGGUGAGAACCCCGUCGGCUCUAGGCUUAGCUGCUCCACGAGGUGCUUUCCACGAGUCGGGUUGUUUGGGAAUGCAGCCCAAAAUGGGAGGUACAUCCCUUCUAAGGCUAAAUACUGGCGAGAGACCGAUAGCGAACAAGUACCGUGAGGGAAAGAUGAAAAGAACUUUGAAAAGAGAGUUAAAAAGUGCUUGAAAUUGUUGAGAGGGAAGCGUUUGGAGGUUAUAGGUGCGCCUAGGCUUAUACGGUUCUAACGAGCCGUUGUAUGUGCUAGGUGCUGGUCAACAUGGGUUAGCUUGGCGGGAUAACAGCGGGGAUUGAUACCCCGUCUAUGCCGCCGGGUUGAUCAAGGUGUGAAUGGCGCUUUGUCCCUCGGGAACUGC